GUGACGUGAAAUUUCCUGGGACCAGAAAGUGUGCCCCGAAUAGAGAGAACAUCACAGGUCACAGAUGGAAGACUCUGGAAGUUCCAGUUUCAGCGAGAUGUAAUUGACACACAGCCCCGCACAAGUUGAAGGAAGACAGCGUCAUGACUUGACGUACACGUAGUGUGAAGCGCACGACCUUUCAGAGCAGGUAAGAAGCUUAGAAAACAGGAGCCGAGAAAAUAAACAGCAAAUUAAGG
This 239-nucleotide long non-coding RNA is filed under the name Suricata suricatta (meerkat). RNAcentral's name for it is "lncRNA (ENSSSUG00005000056.1)". The record is from RNAcentral. Lineage: Eukaryota; Metazoa; Chordata; Mammalia; Carnivora; Herpestidae.